UACGUAGGGGGCAAGCGUUGUCCGGAAUUAUUGGGCGUAAAGAGCGUGUAGGCGGUCAGGUAGGUCCGUUGUGAAAACUCGAGGCUCAACCUCGAGACGCCGAUGGAAACCAUCUGACUAGAGUCCGGAAGAGGAGAGUGGAAUUCCUGGUGUAGCGGUGAAAUGCGCAGAUAUCAGGAGGAACACCGGUGGCGAAGGCGGGUCUCUGGGCCGAUACUGACGCUGAGGAGCGAAAGCGUGGGGAGCGAACAGG
This 253-nucleotide ribosomal RNA is filed under the name uncultured bacterium. RNAcentral's name for it is "partial 16S ribosomal RNA". It matches the Rfam family "Bacterial small subunit ribosomal RNA", at positions 524 to 776 of the family's 1533-position model. The record is from RNAcentral.